GCCAGGCAUGGUGGCGCACGCCUGUAAUCCCAGCUACUUGGGAGGCUGAGGCAGGAGAAUUGCUUGAACCUGGGAGGCAGAGAUUGCAGUGAGCCGAGAUUGCACCACUGCACUCCAGCCUGGGUGACAAAGUGAGAGUCUGUCUCAA
This 148-nucleotide non-coding RNA is filed under the name Homo sapiens (human). The record is from Rfam by way of RNAcentral. Lineage: Eukaryota; Metazoa; Chordata; Mammalia; Primates; Hominidae.